CUGUCAAAGUACAUACAAUAUAUUUAGGAAUUGCAUUAAGCCAAGGUGCCAUAAGCUACGAGUUAUGAAGGAACGGCAAGGCAAAGGAGGGGCAUCAAAAAAUUGCAGACAAACACGAAAAUGUUGAGUUCAUCAAAAGGGGAUUUCCAAAUACAAAUGAAUUUUCGGCUGGCAGGCAGACGUCCCUGAGAGAGAUACAGAGCUCCGAAGAGCUGCUCAAAUAAACACCCACAAGGCCGGAGACAAAGCAGACGGAGGCUCUCUGUCGCCGGAAUGGAUGGCAACGUGUACUCGUGUUCUUGCAAUCAGUCCACAAAACCUAAACACUUGCCAGUCCCCCAGUCAGCCCAGUCGGUCCCUCUUAGGUGUUGGCUCUAAAAACACAGCAAAGCAAAAAAGGCUUUUGCUUACUCUGCGAGAAAUGCCAAUCAACCCUUUCUUUGCCUUGGUAUGUGGAAUAUGCACGAGCAAAUGCCAGGCGCUGGUCUACGCGGAGGAUUGGAAAUUUUAGCAAACUGGUGUGGGAGGAUUGAGUCUGGGGGUCGUAUAACGUCAACGUGAACGCCGACUCAUUUCGAUUCAGACGGCAAACUUUUCAAACGUUUAACUAGCCGACAUUCCGGGCCGUUUAGGAUGUGGCUGCUAAAAGUGUAGCAUACCAAAAGGCGAGCAGGCUCGGCAAGCGCAAAGUGAGCGAAUGCGAAAGUAAAAGGCAGCGACGCGGAUUUAAAAGUUUAAAUAACUUUUACGUAUCUCAUUACUCAGAGCGACAACAUCUCGAACUCCCCACAAAACCCCCUUUAGGAACCCCCCGCCUGUCUUUUUGUGCAGCUCUGAGCUCUAAAAUAAUCACAAUAAAAUCGCAUAAUUCAA
Molecule: long non-coding RNA, 873 nt
Organism: Drosophila montana
Lineage: Eukaryota; Metazoa; Arthropoda; Insecta; Diptera; Drosophilidae
Exons: 2
Source: RefSeq, a predicted model, not a curated record